CAGCCGCCGCGGUAAUGCGUAGGGUGCGAGCGUUAAUCGGAAUUACUGGGCGUAAAGCGUGCGCAGGCGGUUGUGUAAGACAGGUGUGAAAUCCCCGGGCUUAACCUGGGAACUGCGCUUGUGACUGCACAGCUAGAGUAUGGCAGAGGGGGGUGGAACUCCACGUGUAGCAGUGAAAUGCGUAGAGAUGUGGAGGAACACCGAUGGCGAAGGCAGCCCCCUGGGCCAAUACUGACGCUCAUGCACGAAAGCGUGGGGAGCAAACAGGAUUAGAUACCCGAGUAGUCCCUGUCUCUUAUAC
Molecule: ribosomal RNA, 301 nt
Filed under: uncultured bacterium
Lineage: Bacteria
Description: partial 16S ribosomal RNA
Rfam family: Bacterial small subunit ribosomal RNA
Source: RNAcentral